Molecule: ribosomal RNA, 466 nt
Filed under: uncultured bacterium
Lineage: Bacteria
Description: bacterial SSU rRNA
Rfam family: Bacterial small subunit ribosomal RNA
Source: RNAcentral
GAUGAACGCUAGCGGCAGGCUUAACACAUGCAAGUCGAGGGGCAGCACGGGUAGCAAUACCUGGUGGCGACCGGCGCAAGGGUGCGUAACGCGUGAGCAACAUGCCCUAUACAGGGGGAUAAUCCAGGGAAACUUGGUCUAAUAUCCCAUAGUAUUUAGAGGAGGCAUCUUCUAUAAAUUAAAGCUUCGGUGGUAUAGGAUUGGCUCGCGUGACAUUAGCUAGAUGGUGAGGUAACGGCUCACCAUGGCAAUGAUGUCUAGGGGUUCUGAGAGGAAGGCCCCCCACACUGGGACUGAGACACGGCCCAGACUCCUACGGGAGGCAGCAGUGAGGAAUAUUGGACAAUGGAUGGAAAUCUGAUCCAGCCAUGCCGCGUGCAGGAAGACAGCCCUAUGGGUUGUAAACUGCUUUUAAUGGGAGCAAUAAGGUCUACGUGUAGACUGAUGAGAGUACCAUAUGAAUAAG